RNAcentral lists this ribosomal RNA (1371 nucleotides) under uncultured bacterium. RNAcentral's name for it is "bacterial SSU rRNA". It matches the Rfam family "Bacterial small subunit ribosomal RNA", at positions 28 to 1381 of the family's 1533-position model. The record is from RNAcentral.
GAUGAACGCUGGCGGCGUGCCUAAUACAUGCAAGUCGAGCGAACGGACGAGAAGCUUGCUUCUCUGAUGUUAGCGGCGGACGGGUGAGUAACACGUGGAUAACCUACCUAUAAGACUGGGAUAACUUCGGGAAACCGGAGCUAAUACCGGAUAAUAUUUGAACCGCAUGGUUCAAAAGUGAAAGACGGUCUUGCUGUCACUUAUAGAUGGAUCCGCGCUGCAUUAGCUAGUUGGUAAGGUAACGGCUUACCAAGGCAACGAUGCAUAGCCGACCUGAGAGGGUGAUCGGCCACACUGGAACUGAGACACGGUCCAGACUCCUACGGGAGGCAGCAGUAGGGAAUCUUCCGCAAUGGGCGAAAGCCUGACGGAGCAACGCCGCGUGAGUGAUGAAGGUCUUCGGAUCGUAAAACUCUGUUAUUAGGGAAGAACAUAUGUGUAAGUAACUGUGCACAUCUUGACGGUACCUAAUCAGAAAGCCACGGCUAACUACGUGCCAGCAGCCGCGGUAAUACGUAGGUGGCAAGCGUUAUCCGGAAUUAUUGGGCGUAAAGCGCACGUAGGCGGUUUUUUAAGUCUGAUGUGAAAGCCCACGGCUCAACCGUGGAGGGUCAUUGGAAACUGGAAAACUUGAGUGCAGAAGAGGAAAGUGGAAUUCCAUGUGUAGCGGUGAAAUGCGCAGAGAUAUGGAGGAACACCAGUGGCGAAGGCGACUUUCUGGUCUGUAACUGACGCUGAUGUGCGAAAGCGUGGGGAUCAAACAGGAUUAGAUACCCUGGUAGUCCACGCCGUAAACGAUGAGUGCUAAGUGUUAGGGGGUUUCCGCCCCUUAGUGCUGCAGCUAACGCAUUAAGCACUCCGCCUGGGGAGUACGACCGCAAGGUUGAAACUCAAAGGAAUUGACGGGGACCCGCACAAGCGGUGGAGCAUGUGGUUUAAUUCGAAGCAACGCGAAGAACCUUACCAAAUCUUGACAUCCUUUGACAACUCUAGAGAUAGAGCUUUCCCCUUCGGGGGACAAAGUGACAGGUGGUGCAUGGUUGUCGUCAGCUCGUGUCGUGAGAUGUUGGGUUAAGUCCCGCAACGAGCGCAACCCUUAAGCUUAGUUGCCAUCAUUAAGUUGGGCACUCUAAGUUGACUGCCGGUGACAAACCGGAGGAAGGUGGGGAUGACGUCAAAUCAUCAUGCCCCUUAUGAUUUGGGCUACACACGUGCUACAAUGGACAAUACAAAGGGCAGCGAAACCGCGAGGUCAAGCAAAUCCCAUAAAGUUGUUCUCAGUUCGGAUUGUAGUCUGCAACUCGACUACAUGAAGCUGGAAUCGCUAGUAAUCGUAGAUCAGCAUGCUACGGUGAAUACGUUCCCGGGUCU